UACGGAGGGGGCUAGCGUUGUUCGGAAUUACUGGGCGUAAAGCGCACGUAGGCGGCUUUGUAAGUUAGAGGUGAAAGCCUGAUGCUCAACAUCAGAAUUGCCUUUAAGACUGCAUCGCUUGAACGUCGGAGAGGUGAGUGGAAUUCCGAGUGUAGAGGUGAAAUUCGUAGAUAUUCGGAAGAACACCAGUGGCGAAGGCGGCUCACUGGACGACUGUUGACGCUGAGGUGCGAAAGCGUGGGGAGCGAACAGG
This 253-nucleotide ribosomal RNA is filed under the name uncultured bacterium. RNAcentral describes it as "partial 16S ribosomal RNA". It matches the Rfam family "Bacterial small subunit ribosomal RNA", at positions 524 to 776 of the family's 1533-position model. The record is from RNAcentral.